Molecule: non-coding RNA, 24 nt
Filed under: Mus musculus (house mouse)
Lineage: Eukaryota; Metazoa; Chordata; Mammalia; Rodentia; Muridae
Source: RNAcentral
UGGGCACUGGCACCACUCCGGAGA